This 689-nucleotide ribosomal RNA is filed under the name Salmonella enterica. RNAcentral describes it as "partial 23S ribosomal RNA". It matches the Rfam family "Bacterial large subunit ribosomal RNA", at positions 1 to 723 of the family's 2925-position model. The record is from RNAcentral. Lineage: Bacteria; Pseudomonadati; Pseudomonadota; Gammaproteobacteria; Enterobacterales; Enterobacteriaceae.
GGGUUGUGAGGUUAAGCGACUAAGCGUACACGGUGGAUGCCCUGGCAGUCAGAGGCGAUGAAGGACGUGCUAAUCUGCGAUAAGCGCCGGUAAGGUGAUAUGAACCGUUAUAACCGGCGAUUUCCGAAUGGGGAAACCCAGUGUGACUCGUCACACUAUCAUUAACUGAAUCCAUAGGUUAAUGAGGCGAACCGGGGGAACUGAAACAUCUAAGUACCCCGAGGAAAAGAAAUCAACCGAGAUUCCCCCAGUAGCGGCGAGCGAACGGGGAGGAGCCCAGAGCCUGAAUCAGCAUGUGUGUUAGUGGAAGCGUCUGGAAAGGCGCGCGAUACAGGGUGACAGCCCCGUACACAAAAGCGCAUGUGUUGUGAGCUCGAUGAGUAGGGCGGGACACGUGGUAUCCUGUCUGAAUAUGGGGGGACCAUCCUCCAAGGCUAAAUACUCCUGACUGACCGAUAGUGAACCAGUACCGUGAGGGAAAGGCGAAAAGAACCCCGGCGAGGGGAGUGAAAAAGAACCUGAAACCGUGUACGUACAAGCAGUGGGAGCACCCUUCGGGGUGUGACUGCGUACCUUUUGUAUAAUGGGUCAGCGACUUAUAUUCUGUAGCAAGGUUAACCGAAUAGGGGAGCCGGAGGGAAACCGAGUCUUAACCGGGCGUUAAGUUGCAGGGUAUAGACCCGAAACCC